GACGAACGCUGGCGGCGUGCUUAACACAUGCAAGUCGAACGGAAAGGCCCUGCUUUUGUGGGGUGCUCGAGUGGCGAACGGGUGAGUAACACGUGAGUAACCUGCCCUUGACUUUGGGAUAACUUCAGGAAACUGGGGCUAAUACCGGAUAGGAGCUCCUGCUGCAUGGUGGGGGUUGGAAAGUUUCGGCGGUUGGGGAUGGACUCGCGGCUUAUCAGCUUGUUGGUGGGGUAGUGGCUUACCAAGGCUUUGGCGGGUAGCCGGCCUGAGAGGGUGACCGGCCACAUUGGGACUGAGAUACGGCCCAGACUCCUACGGGAGGCAGCAGUGGGGAAUAUUGCACAAUGGGCAGGAGCCUGAUGCAGCAACGCCGCGUGCGGGAUGACGGCCUUCGGGUUGUAAACCGCUUUCGCCUGUGACGAAGCGUGAGUGACGGUAAUGGGUAAAGAAGCACCGGCUAACUACGUG
RNAcentral lists this ribosomal RNA (468 nucleotides) under uncultured bacterium. RNAcentral's name for it is "partial 16S ribosomal RNA". It matches the Rfam family "Bacterial small subunit ribosomal RNA", at positions 28 to 507 of the family's 1533-position model. The record is from RNAcentral.